Molecule: RNA transcript, 2154 nt
Organism: Micropterus dolomieu (smallmouth bass)
Lineage: Eukaryota; Metazoa; Chordata; Actinopteri; Centrarchiformes; Centrarchidae
Exons: 13
Source: RefSeq, a predicted model, not a curated record
UCGUCAGCUUCUGUACCUUCACCAGGAAGUUGCUACAAUUUCAUUCAUUCCAGUUCAGUUCACGGACUGUAGAGUUUAUGCAUUAAGUAUUACAACACUUUAUUUCAAAAUGCGUAGACGAACCGAAGCUCAAGCACCAAGCAAUGUACCCGUCAAUGCUGAUAGAAAGGAUCCGGAUCAAAGACUGCACAGCCCAGCUGCAGCAGAGGGCAGAGUGUCUUACAGCUCUAUGCUCAUGAACAUUGGAAAGUGUUUACUUUUAAUCAUCAUCAUCCCUCCGUUCCUCAACUAUGCAUCAUUGCAGAGAGAAGGACAAAUGCUCUUGCCUAAAGAUAGCCAGAUUGUUGAUGUUGGUUUGGGUCAAAAGAUGCAUCUUUUGUGUAAAGGACAAGGACAACCAGUUGUCAUACUGGAUGCACCAACUGGAAUGUCCUCAGACGUCUGGUUGCAUGUCCAAGAAAAUGUGGCCUCAUUAACAAAGGUUUGCACCUAUGACAGAAUGGGACUGGGCUUCAGCAAGCGGCUGUUGCAGAAUGAAACCACAGGAACUGAGAAAGUUUGGGGGAUGUCAACAACUGGACGCAUGGUGGAUGAUCUACACAGACUCCUGCAGGCUGCUGGAAUAGCCAAGCCCUUCAUCCUGGUGGGCUCUGAGCUCGGCACACUCAAUGGCAGGUUUUACAGCCACAUUCAUGAUGUGCAAGUGUCAGACCUGGUGCUGAUUGAUCCCAUCCCAGAGGACGUUUUUGAGGAGGACCAGUGGAAAGACUACUGGUAUGGUAAGCUGUUGCCCUCCCUCCAAACCAGGCAAUUUUCGGCAGCUACAGGGCUGAGCCGCAUUUUGAUUAUCCUUGGGGCCAUCGAACCAACUAUUAAAGGAGAAAAUGUCUCAGAGGAGGUCAUCCAGCGCCAGAAAUACCUACUAAGUAACCCUGCCCACCAGAGCAGUGCUGUGGAUGAGCAUUACUUUUUAAAUGAAAGUGCAGCUCAAGUUAGGGAUAUCACAAAGUUUAAGCCCCUCUCCGGCAGGACGUCAGUGAGUGUGAUCACCGGGGAUUCCUUUGACCAGCAAAUACCAGAACACCUAAACCAGAUGGUUGCUAAGCUUCAAAAGAAGUUUCUGGAGGAGUCCUACCCGUCAGCCAAUCACAUUCACAUAAAAGGAGCAGACCGGCGAAUGAUCUACAAGAAGCCAUCUGCCAUCAGCAAGCACCUGAGGAAGCUAGUCAAUCAACGACAAGCCAAACAGCAGAGCGAGUGACCCGUGGCCAACAUGAGGCACUCUUCUCAUGCAGAAGCUGCUGGUGGAUGUUGUUGCUGCGAUGAUGCAGACACCUCAGACAUGGCAGAGCAGCGUAGACGCCAGUCUGCCUAUACAUCUUUGCAGGUUUGUCCCAUUGAGCACUCUAUUAGCUAUCCUUCUCUGCGGGUAGUGCUGCCUGUGUCCUGGUUGUGGCCGGUCGACAUGUGUUUACUGUGGCCCCUGCUGUGGCGGCAGGCUGGUCGGGGGCCCGUCCUGACCAAGCCCUGCUAAUGGGACCAGAAGACCCCUCGUGACAGGGCGCCGCUGUGGUGAGCACCGCAGCAAAUUCUACCCCUCCCUCCCCUCCAGCUGCGGCCUCAUGGCCCAUGUCCCCCUACCCAUCAUGCCUCGGCGGGAGCAGGUGAACGGCGGAGGGCCAACGCCGGUGAGCUUGGUUUUUCCUGGGAGAGCAGUGCGCCAUUGCCACGCGCCUCAGUGGUUCCUCCAACAUGGCUCCGGCCCUACGCCACAUGGGCUGGCUGGCCAUUCUGUGUGUCUGUGUGUUUUUAAGUGUGUGGGUGUAUGUGUGUGUGUGUGUGUGUGUGUGUGUGUGUGUGUAUGUGGGGGUGUAUGGUGGAUGCCAGCCCUAAUGCAAAUGCUUGCCGUUUAAAAAAUGGGAGCCUCUCUCCUCCUCUGUCUCUCCUCUUUGGAAAGGUCUAUUUUGGCCUUCUGGUGCUGGCAGUUAUUUUUUUCCUUUCCAGAAGGACAGAGAGCCAGGAAGAUGCACCUGUCAUCCAUUUUGAAAUUCAACAUUAUUGAUCUGGUCAUGAGGAAUGGAAUUUAUGAUGCUAUGUGUCUUUCUAAAUGAAUACUUAUUGAUUUGUGCCUUAAAACAUACAUAUUUCUCUUUU